Molecule: ribosomal RNA, 459 nt
Filed under: uncultured bacterium
Lineage: Bacteria
Description: bacterial SSU rRNA
Rfam family: Bacterial small subunit ribosomal RNA
Source: RNAcentral
CGGCAGGCCUUAUACAUGCAAGUCGAGGGGCAGCAUUUACUUCGGUAAAUGGCGACCGGCGCACGGGUGAGUAACGCGUAUGCAACCUACCUUUAACUGGGGCAUAGCUCGAGGAAACUCGAAUUAAUUCCCCAUGGUACAAUACAUUAUCGCAUGAUAUAAUUGUUAAAGAUUUAUCGGUUAAAGAUGGGCAUGCGUCUGAUUAGCUUGUUGGUAAGGUAACGGCUUACCAAGGCAACGAUCAGUAGGGGGUCUGAGAGGAUGAUCCCCCACACUGGUACUGAGACACGGACCAGACGUCUACGGACGGCAGCAGUAAGGAAUAUUGGGCAAUGGGCGCAAGCCUGACCCAGCCAUGCCGCGUGCAGGAUGACGACCCUAUGGGUUGUAAACUGCUUUUAUAUAGGAAGAAAAUACUCUUGCGAGAGGAUCUGACGGUACUAUAUGAAUAAGGACCGG